AACCUGCGGAAGGAUCAUUGUCGAAGCCUGCCCAACAGAAUGACCCGUGAACAUGUUUAUAAAUCGAUGGGCUGCUGCAGGAUUUAUCCAGCAUCAGCACGUCAUUAGGGCGCGAGCAGGGGAUGCGAGUGCUGGCAUUUGUCUUGCCCUCGUGAUGUCCUGUUCGCGGCCUGCUAACCAAACCCCGACGCCGUACGCGUCAAGGAACUACAAUCAAAAAAGUUUGCACGCCCCUAGCUCACUGGAAACAGUGUGCACACAGGAUGCGUUGCUCUGUGUUAACAAAAACGACUCUCGGCAACGGAUAUCUCGGCUCUCGCAUCGAUGAAGAACGCAGCGAAAUGCGAUACUUGGUGUGAAUUGCAGGAUCCCGCGAACCAUCGAGUCUUUGAACGCAAGUUGCGCCCUAAGCCUUUCGGCCGAGGGCACGUCUGCCUGGGUGUCAUUCAACUGUCGCUCUAGCCCCUUCCAAUUAGAAGGGGCAUGCAGGGCGGAUGUUGGCCUCCCGUGUGCUCUUUGCUACCGGUUGGCCCAAAUGUCUGGUGACGGGCAAAGUUGCCACAGAAAUCGGUGGAUGUAAAGCACUCACAAAAAUCUGUGCGCAAUCGAAAGCCCAUUCACACCAAUGAGACCCCAAAAUGUACCUACACACUGCGACCCCAGGUCAGGCGGGAUUACCCGCUGAGUUUAA
This 691-nucleotide ribosomal RNA is filed under the name Euphorbia neriifolia (Indian spurgetree). RNAcentral describes it as "eukaryotic LSU rRNA". The stretch from base 290 to 445 matches the Rfam family "5.8S ribosomal RNA". Lineage: Eukaryota; Viridiplantae; Streptophyta; Magnoliopsida; Malpighiales; Euphorbiaceae. The record is from RNAcentral.